This 87-nucleotide ribosomal RNA is filed under the name Staphylococcus aureus. RNAcentral's name for it is "partial 23S ribosomal RNA". It matches the Rfam family "Bacterial large subunit ribosomal RNA", at positions 1 to 87 of the family's 2925-position model. RNAcentral also lists the same sequence under 1 other name. Lineage: Bacteria; Bacillati; Bacillota; Bacilli; Caryophanales; Staphylococcaceae. The record is from RNAcentral.
GAUUAAGUUAUUAAGGGCGCACGGUGGAUGCCUUGGCACUAGAAGCCGAUGAAGGACGUUACUAACGACGAUAUGCUUUGGGGAGCU